RNAcentral lists this ribosomal RNA (253 nucleotides) under uncultured bacterium. RNAcentral's name for it is "partial 16S ribosomal RNA". It matches the Rfam family "Bacterial small subunit ribosomal RNA", at positions 524 to 776 of the family's 1533-position model. The record is from RNAcentral.
UACGGAGGAUGCAAGCGUUAUCCGGAAUUAUUGGGCGUAAAGAGUCCGUAGGUGGCGAUUCAAGUCUGCUGUUAAAGACCAGAGCUUAACUCGGGAAAAGCGGUGGAAACUGAAAAGCUAGAGUUCGGGAGGGGUAGAGGGAAUUCCCAGUGUAGCGGUGAAAUGCGUAGAGAUUGGGAAGAACACCAGUGGCGAAGGCGCUCUACUGGACCGAAACUGACACUGAGGGAGGAAAGCUCGGGGAGCGAAAGGG